GUUUUGAAUACUAAACCAGCCUUGCAUCCUUGGAAUAAACCCCACUUGGUUGUGGAGUAUAAAUUUUUUAAUAUAUAUUAAAGCAUUCCAUUUGAUUAUAUUUUUUUGAGCAGGUUUUCCUAUAAUCUCUUGUUUGAUGAUAUGUAGUUGUCAUUCUUUGCUUGUUUUUAACUACUGUCAUUGUCUGGUUUUGGUGUCAAGGUGAUAGUGGCUUCCCAAGUUCUGUUUUUUAGGAAGACUAUGUAAUUGUUUUUAAUUGUUGUUUUAAUGUUUCAUAAUAUCCUCCAGUGAACCAGUUGAGCCUGGAGAUUUUCUGGAUACUUUUUAGUUACAUAUUAUUUGAUAAGUAUGGAACUAUUCAGAGUGUCUGUUUUCAUAUUGGAUAAAUUGGAUAGUUGGUCCUCUUCAAGGAAAUGUUUCAUUUCAUCUAACUUUUCUUAUUUGGAGACUUGUUGGGAGUAUUCCCUUAUUAUCUUUUUAAUGGUAACAGGGUCCGUACUUAUAUCGCAUUUUAUUCCUGAUUUUGGAAAUACGUCACCUCUCUUUUUAAUCAUUGUCAGUCUUAGACAUUUACCAAUUUUACUGAUCAUUUUGAAGAACCAGCACUUUAUUGAUUUUUCUCUAUUGCCUUUCUGGGUGUUUUUUUUUGUUUGUUUUAUUUUAUUUUUUUUUAUCGCACCACGCAGCAUGUGGGAUCUUAGUUCCCCGACCAGGGAUCGAACCUAUGCCCCCUGCAUUGAGAGCACAGAGUCUUAACCACUGGCCCGCCAGGGAAGUCCCUUUACCUUUCUGUCCUUAAUUUCACUGAUUUCUGUUCAGAUCUUUAUGAUAGCAUAUCUUCUACUUUGCUUUGGUUGUAUUUUGCUCUUUUUAUUUUUUGAGGGAUGCUAAGAUUAUUGAUUUGAAACUUUUUUUUUCUUUUCUAAUGGAUCAUUAAGUAUUAUAAAGUUCCUUCAGCACUGUUCCAGCCUUAUCCCAAAAGUUUUCAUUACAAUUUAUUCAGUUCUAAAUAUCCCUUGAUUCCCUUAGAGACUUCCUCUGACACCCAUGUAUUAUUCAGAAGUAUAUUGUUUCAUUUCCUACUGUUUGGAGCAUUUUCUGGUAUCUUUUGUUACUGAUUUAUUACUUGUUUCAUGUUUGGUUUGUUUAAAUUUGUUGAAGUUUGUUUUAUGACCCAGGGUGUGGUAUAUCUUGUUCUGUAAGGCUUCUCGAAACGAAUGUGUAUUCUGCUGUUCCUGGGUGAAGUUUCUAUAAAUGUCUGCACAAUCCUCUUGGUUGGGGUUAUUGCUCAGAUUGUUUACAUCCUUGCUGACUUUCUGUGUAGUGUUUCUGUCCGUUGCAGAGAGAUGGAUGAUGAAGUCCUGAAGUAUAAUUGAGAAAUUGUCUAUUCCUUACAAGUUCUGUAAGUUUCUGCUUCAUGUAUUCCAAAGUUCUGUUGUUUGGUGCAUACACAUACAGGAUUGCUAUGUCAUCUUGGUGUAUUGACCCUUUAAUCAUAAUAAAAGGGUUCAUUUUCUUGCCUUUGAAGCAUACUUUAUCUGAUAUUAGUAUAGUCACUACUGCAUUUUUAUUUCUUCCUUUUAUUUAUUUUUUUUUGUGGUACGCGAGCCUCUCACUGUUGUGGCCUCUCCCGUUGCAGAGCACGGGCUCCGGACGGGCAGGCUCAGCAGCCAUGGCUCACGGGCCCAGCCGCUCCGCGGCAUGUGGGAUCUUCCCGGACCAGGGCAUGAACCUGUGUCCCCUGCAUCGGCAGGCGGACUUUCAACCACUGUGCCACCAGGGAAGCCCACUACUGCAUUUUUUUAUUAAUGUUUGUAGUUUAUAUUUUUCCAUAAUUUUAUUUUUAACAUUUACAUCAUUAUAUUUGAAGUAAGUUUCUUGUGACAGCAUGUAGUUGGGGUCAUACUUUUUUUUUUAAUCCAUUAUGCCACUUUUAAUUCGUAGGUUUAGAUCAUCUAAAUUUAAAAUAAUUAUAUGUUAGAGCUUAACUGUAGCAUUUUAUUAAUCUUUUUUUUGUGUGUGUUCCCUUUGUAUUAUUCCUCUUGUUUUCCAGUUUUUAUUAUUUGGGUUCCCCCACCCCAUUUCCUGUGGUUAUUUAAUAUUUUUUAGAAUUCCAUUUGAUACGUCUGUAAUGUUUUUGAGUAUAUAUCUUAAUUUUCUUUACGUAUUGUAUUAUGUAUACAUAACUUAUCACAGACUGUUACCAGCAUUUUAGCACUUUGAUGUAUAGAAACCUUGAUUCCAUUAGGUUCACCUACAUUCCCUAUUCUUAAUAUAAUUGUUGUAUUUUCUCGUUGUAUACUGAGAACUAUAUUGGAUAUUGUAAUUUUUGCCUCAACUAAGUUUCCCCCCCCCCCCCCACAAAAUUCAUGAGAAGCAUAGUCUGUUUACCUCUACUUUUACCAUUCCAUUGUUGUUUCUCCAUUCUUGAAGUCCCAAGUCUUCUGUUAACAUUUCCAUUCUGUUCGGCAAAUUUCCUGUGGCCUUUUUUCUAGGGUAUGUCUGCUGUUAACAAAUGUUUUUUCUUUCUUCAUCUAAAACUGUCUUUAUGUUCACUUCAUUCCUGAAGGAUAUUUUUGUGCGACAUAAGACUUGGGGUCCACAGUUCUUUUAGGACAAAAGAAAACAUGUCUGUUUUUUCUUCUGUCCAUCUCCUUUUGUCCAGCAUGGUUUCAGAUGAGAAUCCUGCCUUUCAACUCAUUGUUCCUCUAUUUGAAAGGCAUCCUUUCCGUCAGGUGCUUUCGAAGUGUUUUUUAUUAUAAUAUUCAGUUUAUGAUGUGUCCUGGCAUAGCAUUUUUAGGGUUUAUCCUGUUUGGUGUUUUCUCAGCUUUUUGAAUCAUGUGGUGUAUGCUCUUUGCCAAAUUUGGGAGAUUUUUAGUUUUUUUUCAAAUAUUUUUUCAACCCCACGCUUUUUCUCCUCUCAGGGACUCCAGUAACGUGAAUGAUAAUUCUCACAUUCUUGUUCCAUAGGACCCUCAGGCUCCCAUCUUUUUGUUUCCACCAGUCUGUUUUUCUCUGUUCCGCACAUUGAUUAACUUUCAUUGAUCUUACUGGUUUCUUUCUGUCUCAUAUAUAAUCUACUAUUGAGCUCACCCAGUGAGUUUUCAUUUUGGUUUUUGAAUUUUCCAGUUGUUUGAUUUCCAUUUGGUUCUUUUAUACUUCUUCUGUAUUUUUGCCUAGCUUAUAAUGCCAAAGAAGGACUCUGAGAAAGCAGGCAAAACUGUAUAGUCCAAGGUCAUGGUUCUCUGGUGGUUUAUCUUGAUGUUGGGAUAGAAAUCCUAGAUUAACUGGAGAAAUGAAAAGCCUGGUAUCCACAAGAAUUUCUGAGAACAGAUCUUACAACUGAGACCCGUAGAUUGUUCAGAGUUGUGUUUAAGGUGCCUGGAUUCUCCGUGAAUCCUACUGUCUUCUGCCUUGUUGCCCAAGCCAGACACACUUUGCAGCCAUUUUUUCAUCAUCACCCACAUCCAGCCACUGUCCCAUUCUGUUCUUUUUUUCCUAGUAGACACUCAGUAUAUGUGUGUUCUAGUGAAUGGCUACAUGCAGCAGGGAAUUUAUAUUAUAAUGUUUGGCUCCCUCACAGUGUUUACACAAAGCUGUGUAUAUAGUUGGCACCGUAUAGAACAUAUGUUGACCUUGAAGAAAAUCCACACAAGCUUUUAUGGCCAGAUCAUAGUCAUAAUGAAUGAUUGUUUUGGGUCAUCAAAGACCACGCUCAGUUGCAGUAAUUCGCUGAUUCUCAGUACUCUGCGUAUUUUUACAGUCAACAGCUGUGCUUUAUUACACCAAAACGGUGCAAAGCAAACUCAGCCAAGGGAAAAGGCACAAGGACUGAAGUCCAGAGGAAACCAGGGACAAUCUGCAGUGGUCCUGUCUCAGGGAAGUCACACAGGACGGGCCUAAUUUAAGCUCCAUCAAGGAGUUAACAGCAAUAGAUUGAAAUGUCUACUGGGGACGCUAAUUAGAGACCCAGUGCCCAGGGUUUCUUGGGGACACACUAGCACAUACCAAAUUCUAGACCUCUAGAAGGAUAGAUAGAUCUUUGGCAUUAAGCCACACAGUUAAACAAAAAACCUGGGCACACUGAGCCACUCGUCGUUUGUGGGAAUGAUGGGAAAUCUCCCAAAAUCUAAGGUCCCAAACCCCAGCCCUUGCAAAGGUGAACCUUGCAAGCUCGAGAGAAUAGCAGUCUCAGGCCUGCUGUGUUACGUCUUCAUAGUGACUUAAAUGGUACUAAGAUGCUGAAUAAUUCAGACUUCUGUAACAAACGUUAAGCAAAUACAGUUUCCUACAACAAAAAGUGAAUCAUAACUCUGAGGUGAAAUUGUUGUAAAAAAAAAAAAAUCAGUAAGCCAAAGUAGAACUUAACAAGCUAGCCAGGAUUUAGUUUAGUGAUGACAAAGUACAGAGGCAGUCUGGUGACAAAGUUCCUUAUCUCUUCCCAAUAUUAAUAUAUGUAUGUAUAUGUAUGUGUAUGUAUGUACACCACUUGAGGCCAUAUAUAUGUAUAUAAAUGUGUAUAGACCUAAUAUAUAUUUCUGUGUGUGUAUAUAUAUACAGAUACAUGGCUUCAAGUGGUCUGACUUGCAAAUACACCCACUGCUUGCUUACCCUUAUCUAUAAAGAUGUAAAUGCCACAUCAGUGCUGUGUGUUCCUAUAGCACGCAAGUCAACAAUUUCUUGUCUCUUUGUUCCUGCUGUUGAUGCUGUUUGCCUCUGUCUUCAACAAAGAGAAAUAAGGAAUAUGUGCAUCAUUCAGUGCACCUGACAAGAUUUAAUUAAAGACUUCGUUUCAGGCU
RNAcentral lists this long non-coding RNA (4799 nucleotides) under Phocoena sinus (vaquita). RNAcentral's name for it is "lncRNA (ENSPSNG00000015099.1)". Lineage: Eukaryota; Metazoa; Chordata; Mammalia; Artiodactyla; Phocoenidae. The record is from RNAcentral.